GAAUUCAGGUAAUCGCUGCAACAUUGUUGUAGAGGAAAGUCCAUGCUCGCACGGUUCUGAGAUGACCGUAGUGUUCGUGCUCGGCGAAAAGAUAAGCCGGGGCAGCGUAUUUUCAUACGCUGACGGCGGGAAGAAAUCCUACGUUCCCUUUGGGAAUAUGGAUGACAUUCCCUGAAAAGUGCCACAGUGACGUAGCCGGUUUGGAAACAGGCCGGGUGGAACGAGGUAAACCCCGCGAGUGAGAAACCCAAAUUAUGGUAGGGGCGCUCUUCGGAAGGAAAUGAACGGACGAAGGGACAGAUUUAGUCUGUAGAUAGAUGAUUACCACCCUAAGUACGAGGCGAGAGCCGUUUGAGUACACGGGAACAAAACAUGGCUUAUCGGA
Molecule: RNase P RNA, 385 nt
Filed under: Sporosarcina sp. Te-1
Lineage: Bacteria; Bacillati; Bacillota; Bacilli; Caryophanales; Caryophanaceae
Description: Bacterial RNase P class B
Rfam family: Bacterial RNase P class B
About the family: Ribonuclease P (RNase P) is a ubiquitous endoribonuclease, found in archaea, bacteria and eukarya as well as chloroplasts and mitochondria.
Source: Rfam by way of RNAcentral